CCUACGGGAGACAGCAGUGAGGAAUAUUGGUCAUUGGGCGCGAGCCUGAACCAGCCAAGUCGCGUGAGGGAAGACGGCCCUACGGGUUGUAAACCUCUUUUGCCGGGGAGCAACGGGCGCCACGAGUGGCGCCACUGAGAGUACCCGGAGAAAAAGCAUCGGCUAACUCCGUGCCAGCAGCCGCGGUAAUACGGGGGAUGCGAGCGUUAUCCGGAUUUAUGGGGUUUAAAGGGUGCGUAGGCGGAGCGUUAAGUCAGUGGUAAAAUUGAGGGGCUAAACCCCUUCCCGCCAUUGAAACUGGCGCUCUUGAGUGGAAGAGAGGUAUGCGGAAUGCGUGGUGUAGCGGUGAAAUGCAUAGAUAUCACGCAGAACCCCGAUUGCGAAGGCAGCAUGCCGGCUUCCUACUGACGCUGAAGCACGAAAGCGUGGGGAUCGAACAGGAUUAGAUACCCUGGUAGUC
Molecule: ribosomal RNA, 460 nt
Filed under: uncultured bacterium
Lineage: Bacteria
Description: partial 16S ribosomal RNA
Rfam family: Bacterial small subunit ribosomal RNA
Source: RNAcentral